This 253-nucleotide ribosomal RNA is filed under the name uncultured bacterium. Its description in RNAcentral is "partial 16S ribosomal RNA". It matches the Rfam family "Bacterial small subunit ribosomal RNA", at positions 524 to 776 of the family's 1533-position model. The record is from RNAcentral.
UACGAAGGGUGCAAGCGUUACUCGGAAUCACUGGGCGUAAAGGGUGCGUAGGCGGGUUUUUAAGUCAGGGGUGAAAUCCUGGAGCUCAACUCCAGAACUGCCUUUGAUACUGAAGAUCUUGAGUUCGGGAGAGGUGAGUGGAACUGCGAGUGUAGAGGUGAAAUUCGUAGAUAUUCGCAAGAACACCAGUGGCGAAGGCGGCUCACUGGCCCGAUACUGACGCUGAGGCACGAAAGCGUGGGGAGCAAACAGG